GCACUGCAAAUGUCACUGUACCUUGCUGGAAGGUGAUCUCCCCCCAGCCACGCAUCACAUGGGGAGAGGAGGGGAGGCUCCUACCAGCUGAAAAAUACAAGAGCAGAUCAAAACAGACAAGGCACACUGGGAGUCAGAGAGAGGAAAACAGUAAGUGAGGCUGUAAGGACUCUGCUGACUGGCUGCAGCCUCUGUGGAGAGUCUGCUCAGGUGUUUUGGGGAGGAUGCUUUGCCAGCCCCUGUGGAUGCUGAGGGAGGAGCUGCCACAGGCACACUGCACCCCCAUGACAUGGACAGAAUUUACAGACCACAAACAAAACACAAAUGGCUCUCAAGAAGCUGAGCAGUAAGAGGAGGAUGGAUGUUUGCCAUCAGGAGAGGUGCAGCACCCAUCCCAAAGAGAAAUGGAUUAUCCCUCACCUGUGAUGUGCCCAUGGCUGCAAGGGUCCCAUUUGGCAAGAGUGGCUCCAGCUGCUGCCUUUGGACCCAAGGCCAGUAAUGAAUCACCUCUCCGUAAUAAAUAAACUUUCCACUC
This is a long non-coding RNA of Lepidothrix coronata (blue-crowned manakin), 535 nucleotides long. RefSeq lists it as uncharacterized. The transcript is spliced from 4 exons. NCBI's taxonomy places the organism in Eukaryota, Metazoa, Chordata, Aves, Passeriformes, Pipridae. The record is from RefSeq and is a predicted model, not a curated record.